Molecule: ribosomal RNA, 474 nt
Filed under: uncultured bacterium
Lineage: Bacteria
Description: bacterial SSU rRNA
Rfam family: Bacterial small subunit ribosomal RNA
Source: RNAcentral
CAGGAUGAACGCUGGCGGCGUGCCUAACACAUUCAAGUCGAACGAACUGUAGAAAUACAGUGAGUGGCGGACGGGUGAGUAACGCGUAAGCAAUCUGCCUUUGUGUGUGGAAUAACAACCGGAAACAGUUGCUAAUACCGCAUAACGCAGAGAGAUCGCAUGGUCUUUCUGCCAAAGAUUUAUCGCACAAAGAUGGGCUUGCGUCCGAUUAGAUAGUUGGCGGGGUAACGGCCCACCAAGUCAACGAUCGGUAGCCGGACUGAGAGGUUGAACGGCCACAUUGGAACUGAGAUACGGUCCAGACUCCUACGGGAGGCAGCAGUGGGGAAUAUUGGGCAAUGGACGAAAGUCUGAACCCCCAGCGACGCCGCGUGAGGGAAGAAGGUCUUCGGAUUGUAAACCUUAGUCAACAGGGACGAAGCAAGUGACGGUACCUGUGGAGGAAGCCACGGCUAACUACGUGCCAGCAGCCGC